GUCUAUGGCCAUAUCACCCUAAACGUACCUGAUCUCAUCUGAUCUCGGAAGCUAAGCAGGAUCGGGCCUGGUUAGAACUUCGAUGGGAGACCUGGCAAAGUGCAUUGGGUGUGUCC
RNAcentral lists this ribosomal RNA (116 nucleotides) under Chinchilla lanigera (long-tailed chinchilla). The record is from RNAcentral. Lineage: Eukaryota; Metazoa; Chordata; Mammalia; Rodentia; Chinchillidae.